AAAUUGAAGAGUUUGAUCAUGGCUCAGAUUGAACGCUGGCGGCAGGCCUAACACAUGCAAGUCGAACGGUAACAGGAAGCAGCUUGCUGCUUCGCUGACGAGUGGCGGACGGGUGAGUAAUGUCUGGGAAACUGCCUGAUGGAGGGGGAUAACUACUGGAAACGGUGGCUAAUACCGCAUAACGUCGCAAGACCAAAGAGGGGGACCUUCGGGCCUCUUGCCAUCAGAUGUGCCCAGAUGGGAUUAGCUUGUUGGUGAGGUAACGGCUCACCAAGGCGACGAUCCCUAGCUGGUCUGAGAGGAUGACCAGCCACACUGGAACUGAGACACGGUCCAGACUCCUACGGGAGGCAGCAGUGGGGAAUAUUGCACAAUGGGCGCAAGCCUGAUGCAGCCAUGCCGCGUGUAUGAAGAAGGCCUUCGGGUUGUAAAGUACUUUCAGCGGGGAGGAAGGUGUUGCGGUUAAUAACCGCAGCAAUUGACGUUACCCGCAGAAGAAGCACCGGCUAACUCCGUGCCAGCAGCCGCGGUAAUACGGAGGGUGCAAGCGUUAAUCGGAAUUACUGGGCGUAAAGCGCACGCAGGCGGUCUGUCAAGUCGGAUGUGAAAUCCCCGGG
Molecule: ribosomal RNA, 617 nt
Filed under: Salmonella enterica subsp. enterica serovar Infantis
Lineage: Bacteria; Pseudomonadati; Pseudomonadota; Gammaproteobacteria; Enterobacterales; Enterobacteriaceae
Also listed under: 1 other name
Description: partial 16S ribosomal RNA
Rfam family: Bacterial small subunit ribosomal RNA
Source: RNAcentral